ACUCCUGCGGGAGGCAGCAGUGGGGAAUAUUGGACAAUGGGCGCAAGCCUGAUCCAGCCAUGCCGCGUGAGUGAUGAAGGCACUAGGGUUGUAAAGCUCUUUCACCGGUGAAGAUAAUGACGGUAACCGGAGAAGAAGCCCCGGCUAACUUCGUGCCAGCAGCCGCGGUAAUACGAAGGGGGCUAGCGUUGUUCGGAUUUACUGGGCGUAAAGCGCACGUAGGCGGACUAUUAAGUCAGGGGUGAAAUCCCGGGGCUCAACCCCGGAACUGCCUUUGAUACUGGUAGUCUUGAGUUCGAGAGAGGUGAGUGGAAUUCCGAGUGUAGAGGUGAAAUUCGUAGAUAUUCGGAGGAACACCAGUGGCGAAGGCGGCUCACUGGCUCGAUACUGACGCUGAGGUGCGAAAGCGUGGGGAGCAAACAGGAUUAGAUACCCCUGUAGUCCC
Molecule: ribosomal RNA, 445 nt
Filed under: uncultured organism
Description: partial 16S ribosomal RNA
Rfam family: Bacterial small subunit ribosomal RNA
Source: RNAcentral